UGAGAAACCCAAAAGAUCGAAUGGGGAGAUUCAUCGUCAGCUCAUUUUAUAUAUUUGCUUGUUAUGAUAUGGGUUACUACUUGUAGUAUUGCCUAUACAUUCUUGCAUAUUUAUUUGUAAAAUGUUGUCGGCGUGCACUUCUCCUCUAGUAGGACGUCGCGACCCGUUGAGUAUUGGUCUACGGCCCAAGUGGAUGAUUUUAAUGAAUUUUUAUUUAUUAAAAACCCUUGGUGUUCAACCUGACUAAAACUCGUCGGUAUUCGUAUGGUAUUGAGCCGCAUAUUAUAUGCGUCCAUAUCUGUCACAAGCGAGGUUAGUAAUAUAUAUAAUACUGAUAGUACGGACUUAGUGCCGUCGUUGGUGCUAAUCAGCUGUUGGUUGUACAGAAAUCUAGGACUGGCUCUUAUUUAUUAAAAAUAAUACCGGUUAGCGAUGCUACUGCUUUGGGUACUUUCAGGACCCGUCUUGAAACACGGACCAAGGAGUCUAACAUGUACGCGAGUCAUUGGGAUAUAUAAAAAUUAAACCUAAAGGCGUAAUGAAAGUAAAGAUCGUCCUUGUGUCGAUUAAGGGAGGAUGAGCUAUAUUACGAUAUAGCUUCGCACUCUCGGGGCGUCUCAUUCUCAUUAUGAGAAGAGGCGCACCUAGAGCGUACACGUUGG
This 662-nucleotide ribosomal RNA is filed under the name Gronaulax sp. RNAcentral describes it as "partial 28S ribosomal RNA". It matches the Rfam family "Eukaryotic large subunit ribosomal RNA", at positions 413 to 812 of the family's 3401-position model. The record is from RNAcentral. Lineage: Eukaryota; Metazoa; Arthropoda; Insecta; Hymenoptera; Braconidae.